GUUGGAAAGUAUUUCAGAAUAAAAUCAAGUCUGGAUACAGGUUCUUAUAUGAGGCAGAGGGCAUGCUUUACAGUUAAGGGUGGUAGGUCUGUCAUUGUUUGGAAUAGAGGGUAUCACGUUUUUUUUCUUCAAGGACUUUGUUUUUUGGACACAACUAUUUUUGGAUACAACAAAAAGGAAAAGUUUAUGUGAAGAUAAUAACAUAAAGUUCUAACCAGCAACAUAGUCAUUUCAGACCCAAAUAUGUUCGUGAAACUAUUUGAGGCAAGAUUGGCAAAUUGUUGGGAUUCUUGCCGCACAGCUUACUUGGAAUGUCUUCAACUAAGGACUCUGUUUUCCA
Quercus lobata is the source of this 340-nucleotide long non-coding RNA. RefSeq lists it as uncharacterized. Lineage: Eukaryota; Viridiplantae; Streptophyta; Magnoliopsida; Fagales; Fagaceae. The record is from RefSeq and is a predicted model, not a curated record. The transcript is spliced from 2 exons.